This 1407-nucleotide unclassified non-coding RNA is filed under the name Rattus norvegicus (Norway rat). RNAcentral's name for it is "retrovirus-susceptibility restoring antisense RNA". The record is from RNAcentral. Lineage: Eukaryota; Metazoa; Chordata; Mammalia; Rodentia; Muridae.
CUCACUUAGGGGUAAGCAAACUCAUCCAGACGUUUUCAAAAACUAAAUAUUAUGUCACAGGUCUCAAGUAUCUCAUGGAACAGAUAGUGCACUGAUGUAUACCAUGCCAAAAGGUAACUGUUUUCAGGAAAGUUGACUCUGGUAGGAGGCUCCGUGGGGAACGGCCUGGAUCCUACUGAGAAGUGGACUUCACAGAGAUAAAACCAGGAAAAUAUGGUUAUAAAUGUCUCCCAGUGUUUAUAGAUAUCUUUUCAGGAAUAGAUAGAAGCUUUCCUCACCAAACGAGAGACGGCCUCUACAAUCAUCAAGAAGAUACUAGAAGAAAUCUUCCCCCGAUUUAAAAUGCCCAAGGUAAUCUGGUCAGACAAUGGCCCUACUUUCGUUGCCAAGGUAAGCCAGGGUGUGGCCAAGUAUUUAGAGGUCGAUUAGAAAUUACAUUGUAUUUACAGACCUCAAAGUUCAGGACAGGUAGAAUAAAUAAAUAAAAUUUUAAAAGAGACACUGACCAAAUUGACCGUGGAGACUGGCACAGACUGGGUGACACUCCUUCCCUCUUGCUCUCUUCAGAGCAAAAAAUAUCCCUUCCAGAUUCAGCCUUAUCCCCUUUGAGAUCUUAUAUGGGGCCUCAGCUCCCCUGACUGUAUUAGAUGAUGUUACUAAACCAACAUGUCAUAGUAAUAAUGAUUUAUAUGCCAGGCUAAAAGACCUACAGGUGAUACAGAAAGAAAUCUGCUCACAGCCGACAGCAGCCUAUGCCCCGGAGACCCCUGAGACAUGUCAUCAGUUCCAGGUUAGAGACUGCAGCUACACUGAGCCCAGACACUCGAGCCUCGCUGGAAAGGACCGUACCUGGUGCUGCUGAUCACCCUGACAGCCGUCAAUUCUCAGCCCUCACCAGCAGCGUACUAGCUGUUGGGGCUGAGAGCUGGGACCUAGAGGGACACUCAGAUCUUCAAAAAGCUCCCUAGACUUACACAUCAGAUAAGUGGAUACAUCAGAGACGUGACUGGGAGGUUGCUAUAAUGCUUACUUAAAGAGUGUGCUUUAGAAACAAAAAUUUCAUGUUUGCCUGUUUGCCCUGGGUUCCCUCAAAAUAGAUAUAGAGAUAGGCUUGAUUUUUAUUGCAAAUGGUGUAACAUUACAUAUGUUAGUACUCCUAACACUUCUUGGGACUGUGCCUCAGGGAUCACAACCUAUAUAAGUUUAGAAGUUCUAAAAGACCUUGAUUUAUAGGUUCAGAUAGUGUCCAGAUUAAGAAUCCUGAUGCUAAAGACUUAAUAAGACACAAAAGAGAGUUAAAAAUUAUUUAAGGCUAUCUAGGUGCUACAAGGACAACACAAGGACAUCUGCUGUUGCCCUAUAAUGCAAGGCUUAUAGAAAAUUCAAAACUGCCAUUGACUCAGAUAU